UCCAGACCGUGCUAACAACAACA
Molecule: non-coding RNA, 23 nt
Filed under: Arabidopsis thaliana (thale cress)
Lineage: Eukaryota; Viridiplantae; Streptophyta; Magnoliopsida; Brassicales; Brassicaceae
Source: RNAcentral